GACGAACGCUGGCGGCGUGCUUAACACAUGCAAGUCGAACGCUGAAGCUUGGUGCUUGCCCUGGGUGGCUGAGUGGCGAACGGGUGAGUAAUACGUGAGUAACCUGCCCUUGACUCUGGGAUAAGCCUGGGAAACUGGGUCUAAUACUGGAUACGACAUGUCACCGCAUGGUGGUGUGUGGAAAGGGUUUUACUGGUUUUGGAUGGGCUCACGGCCUAUCAGCUUGUUGGUGGGGUAAUGGCUCACCAAGGCGACGACGGGUAGCCGGCCUGAGAGGGUGACCGGCCACACUGGGACUGAGACACGGCCCAGACUCCUACGGGAGGCAGCAGUGGGGAAUAUUGCACAAUGGGCGGAAGCCUGAUGCAGCGACGCCGCGUGAGGGAUGACGGCCUUCGGGUUGUAAACCUCUUUCAGCACGGAAGAAGCGAAAGUGACGGUACGUGCAGAAGAAGCGCCGGCUAACUACGUG
Molecule: ribosomal RNA, 472 nt
Filed under: uncultured bacterium
Lineage: Bacteria
Description: partial 16S ribosomal RNA
Rfam family: Bacterial small subunit ribosomal RNA
Source: RNAcentral